This is a non-coding RNA of Pelobates cultripes (western spadefoot toad), 203 nucleotides long. Lineage: Eukaryota; Metazoa; Chordata; Amphibia; Anura; Pelobatidae. The record is from the annotation of a GenBank genome assembly.
UCAUUACACAAGCAGGGUUAUAUAUGAAACUGUAAACAAGUGAAUAAUAAGUGUCCCAUUCACUGAACAGUGAGCUUGAAUUAACCAAUCAGGGUCUUAUUUGAGAUCUUUUCUGAACUGAUAUUGUUGUUUGGGCCAACCAUAUACAGAUACAUUGUUAACAUUCUGUCAUUGAAUAGACUCCAUGCAGAGACCCCAUUGUU